UGGUGGAGUGAUUUGUCUGGUUGAUUCCGUUAACGAACGAGACCUCGACCUACUUACUAGUCUGAUUCAUCUUCGGAUGGUAUUCAGUACUUCUUAGAGGGACUAUCGGUGUGUAGCCGAUGGAAGUUCGAGGCAAUAACA
RNAcentral lists this ribosomal RNA (141 nucleotides) under uncultured eukaryote. RNAcentral's name for it is "partial 18S ribosomal RNA". It matches the Rfam family "Eukaryotic small subunit ribosomal RNA", at positions 1299 to 1458 of the family's 1831-position model. The record is from RNAcentral.